GGAGCACGCCGCGUGAGUGAUGAAGGUUUUCGGAUCGUAAAGCUCUGUUGUUAGGGAAGAACAAGUGCCGUUCAAAUAGGGCGGCACCUUGACGGUACCUAACCAGAAAGCCACGGCUAACUACGUGCCAGCAGCCGCGGUAAUACGUAGGUGGCAAGCGUUGUCCGGAAUUAUUGGGCGUAAAGGGCUCGCAGGCGGUUUCUUAAGUCUGAUGUGAAAGCCCCCGGCUCAACCGGGGAGGGUCAUUGGAAACUGGGGAACUUGAGUGCAGAAGAGGAGAGUGGAAUUCCACGUGUAGCGGUGAAAUGCGUAAAGAUGUGGAGGAACACCAGUGGCGAAGGCGACUCUCUGGUCUGUAACUGACGCUGAGGAGCGAAAGCGUGGGGAGCGAACAGGAUUAGAUACCCUGGUAGUCCACGCCGUAAACGAUGAGUGCUAAGUGUUAGGGGGUUUCCGCCCCUUAGUGCUGCAGCUAACGCAUUAAGCACUCCGCCCUGGGGAGAUUCC
RNAcentral lists this ribosomal RNA (507 nucleotides) under Bacillus subtilis. Its description in RNAcentral is "bacterial SSU rRNA". It matches the Rfam family "Bacterial small subunit ribosomal RNA", at positions 388 to 873 of the family's 1533-position model. Lineage: Bacteria; Bacillati; Bacillota; Bacilli; Caryophanales; Bacillaceae. The record is from RNAcentral.